GAAUUCGAUUACCGCUCAGUAACACGUAGUCAACAUGCCCAGGGGACGUGGAUAACCUCGGGAAACUGAGGAUAAACCGCGAUAGGUCAUCACUUCUGGAAUGGGUAAUGACUUAAAUCUAUAUGGCCCCUGGAUUGGACUGCGGCCGAUCAGGCUGUUGGUGAGGUAAUGGCCCACCAAACCUGUAACCGGUACGGGCUCUGAGAGGAGGAGCCCGGAGAUGGGCACUGAGACAAGGGCCCAGGCCCUAUGGGGCGCAGCAGGCGCGAAACCUCUGCAAUAGGCGAAAGCUUGACAGGGUUACUCUGAGUGAUUUCCGUUAAGGAGAUCUUUUGGCACCUCUAAAAAUGGUGCAGAAUAAGGGGUGGGCAAGUCUGGUGUCAGCCGCCGCGGUAAUACCAGCACCCCGAGUGGUCGGGACGUUUAUUGGGCCUAAAGCAUCCGUAGCCGGUUCUACAAGUCUUCCGUUAAAUCCACCUGCUUAACAGAUGGGCUGCGGAAGAUACUAUAGAGCUGGGAGGCGGGAGAGGCAAGCGGUACUCGAUGGGUAGGGGUAAAAUCCGUUGAUCCAUUGAAGACCACCAGUGGCGAAGGCGGCUUGCCAGAACGCGCUCGACGGUGAGGGAUGAAAGCUGGGGGAGCAAACCGGAUUAGAUACCCGGGUAGUCCCAGCUGUAAACGAUGCAGACUCGGUGAUGAGUUGGCUUAUUGCUAACUCAGUGCCGCAGGGAAGCCGUUAAGUUUGCCGCCUGGGGAGUACGGUCGCAAGACUGAAACUUAAAGGAAUUGGC
This 791-nucleotide ribosomal RNA is filed under the name uncultured archaeon. RNAcentral describes it as "bacterial SSU rRNA". It matches the Rfam family "Archaeal small subunit ribosomal RNA", at positions 75 to 869 of the family's 1478-position model. The record is from RNAcentral.